Molecule: long non-coding RNA, 389 nt
Filed under: Felis catus (domestic cat)
Lineage: Eukaryota; Metazoa; Chordata; Mammalia; Carnivora; Felidae
Description: lncRNA (ENSFCAG00000048501.1)
Source: RNAcentral
AUGGCCAUCAAGACCCAACCAGGAGUCUUAGUCUUUGCUCCAGAGCUCCUCAUCAGGCUGGUUCAGACUUCGGCAGGUCUGCACUACAGUCCUCCCCUUACUGGUAACUCAAAGGAUCUGGAGAUGAGGACCACAUUUGAUAGUUCUCUAUAUCAGCUCCAACUAAGCACAGUGCUUAGGAAAUGCGUCCUACCCAUCUUGUAUCCCUAGGGCCUAACAUGUGGGGAACAGGUAAACAGCAGGUAUGAAAGCUGAGGCUCUGAGAAUUUAAACAACUUGGCCGAGAUCACCCUGCUGUUAAGUGCAAAUUAAAUCCAUGUUUGUUUGACUCUAUUCGUUGUACUAUGUGUUGGAAAUAAACGUGAAUAAAUGGAUGAGUGAAUCUGAGA